GUAGGUGGCAAGCGUUGUCCGGAAUUAUUGGGCGUAAAGCGCGCGCAGGCGGUCCUUUAAGUCUGAUGUGAAAGCCCACGGCUCAACCGUGGAGGGUCGUUGGAAACUGGGGGACUUGAGUACAGAAGAGGAAAGCGGAAUUCCAAGUGUAGCGGUGAAAUGCGUAGAGAUUUGGAGGAACACCAGUGGCGAAGGCGGCUUUCUGGUCUGUAACUGACGCUGAGGCGCGAAAGCGUGGGGUGCAAACAGGAUUAGAUACCCUGGUAGUCCACGCCGUAAACGAUGAGUGCUAAGUGUUAGGGGGGUUUCCCGCCCCCUUAGUGCUGCAGCUAACGCAUUAAGCACUCCGCCUGGGGAGUACGGCCGCAAGGCUG
Molecule: ribosomal RNA, 374 nt
Filed under: uncultured organism
Description: partial 16S ribosomal RNA
Rfam family: Bacterial small subunit ribosomal RNA
Source: RNAcentral